CAAUUGAGGAACCAACUGGCCAAUAAGGAGGCUAUAGACCUCCCACACCUCAGUUGCAAAGAGGCCUGUCUCGAACACAUGGCAAGAGUUCCCUUUCAUUGCUUUUGUGAGUUCUGUGUGGCUUGCCAAGGAGUGCACAGGCUGCUUCAAGUACUGCUCUGAGCGAUCUUCUGCUCCUUGAUAUACCCUGCAAAUCUUUCAGCGGUUGCAGCCAAAGGUGCAGUACUGACCAUGGAUUCAAGCUCAGGAUGCCCAUCAUCAAUCUCAUACUCAAUAGUUGAUCUUAUCACUGAAGAGCUGGGUCCUUUCACAAUGAUCUCAAACCUGACCAUGCCAGGAAUUCCUAGUGAGCAGCAUGCAAUUAGUUCUCAAUAAUACCAUCACCAACAUCAGAACCCAAAGGGGUUUCAGAAUCUCACCUGGAGGAAAUGUCAGCUCCAAGAUGGUGCCAAGGCCACCAUCACCGCUCACGAGCUCAACCUUCGAGAGGACCUGCGGAAGCAAUUCAGGCAAUAGCUCUGCUGCACGGAGUGUACCGUAGACUUCCCAUAGCUCAGCGGCAGGGACAUCAGUCUCGAAGUCAUGACUCUGGCUUUUCCUCAUCGCCUCUGCCUUCAGUGGUGCUUAUGGAUUGUGAAAUGUGGCAACAAACGAGUUGAAGCAGUUGAGUGUGUGACUGUGAGUGCAGCUGAUUAACUGUAUAUAUAGGGAAGCCAUGGAAUCUCAAAGAUUGGGAUGCUACGGCAUCAACAAGGCAAGUGUUUUUGGCUGGAGUUAUCUUGGCAUUGUUUUGCCAGAAAUAAAGUAGCAUUGGGUGGUUUUCUUUGAAGGCUAAUAAAGUAUUUGAGUGGUUGGCAGGCCUGAAAUAUACUAUUAUUAUACAUUGGCCUGCCUGGAACGAUUGGCAAAAUGAUUCCCCAGAUAAGCCUUUUUUUCUGUACUUACAUUUGGCCUGCCUGUACAAACUUCUCUGAUGUGCGGUCUUGCAAUUAUCUA
Long non-coding RNA from Brachypodium distachyon (stiff brome), 996 nucleotides. RefSeq lists it as uncharacterized. The transcript is spliced from 3 exons. NCBI's taxonomy places the organism in Eukaryota, Viridiplantae, Streptophyta, Magnoliopsida, Poales, Poaceae. The record is from RefSeq and is a predicted model, not a curated record.